ACGAGAGGACCGGGGUGGACAGACCGCUGGUGUGCCAGUUGUCGUGCCAACGGCAUAGCUGGGUAGCUAAGUCUGGAACGGAUAACCGCUGAAAGCAUCUAAGUGGGAAGCCAGCUUCAAGAUAAAUUCCCUCACAGGGUUAACCUGGUAAGUGCGCUGGUAGACGACCAGCUUGAUAGGCGGCACGUGUACGGGCAGAGAUGUCUUUAGCGAAGCCGUACUAAUGCACGAGGGCUUAAUCUA
This 243-nucleotide ribosomal RNA is filed under the name Caldilineaceae bacterium. RNAcentral describes it as "partial 23S ribosomal RNA". It matches the Rfam family "Bacterial large subunit ribosomal RNA", at positions 2683 to 2925 of the family's 2925-position model. The record is from RNAcentral. Lineage: Bacteria; Bacillati; Chloroflexota; Caldilineae; Caldilineales; Caldilineaceae.